UUUGUGAGUCAUCGAAUCUUUGAACGCACCUUGCGCCCUUUGGCUAUUCCGAAGGGCAUGCCUGUUUGAGUAUCAUGAACACCUCAACUCUCAUGGUUUGCCAUGAUGAGCUUGGACUUUGGGGGUCUUGUUGGCCUGUGAGCCAGCUCCUCUUAAAUGGAUUAGCUUGCCGGUGUUUGGUGGCGUCACAGGUGUGAUAACUAUCUACGCUUGUGGUUUCCCACCAGGUAACCUUCAGCAAUGGAGGUUCACCGGAGCUCAUAAAUGUCUCUCCUCAGCGAGGACAGAUUUUGACCGUUUGAUCUCAAAUCAGGUAGGACUACCCGCUGAACUUAAGCAUAUCAAUAAGCGGAGGAA
RNAcentral lists this ribosomal RNA (357 nucleotides) under Tomentella stuposa. Its description in RNAcentral is "eukaryotic LSU rRNA". The stretch from base 300 to 357 matches the Rfam family "Eukaryotic large subunit ribosomal RNA", at positions 1 to 58 of the family's 3401-position model. The record is from RNAcentral. Lineage: Eukaryota; Fungi; Basidiomycota; Agaricomycetes; Thelephorales; Thelephoraceae.